UACAGAGGGUGCAAGCGUUGUUCGGAAUUACUGGGCGUAAAGAGUGUGUAGGCGGUGCUCUAAGUUCGGUGUGAAAUCUCCUGCUUAACUGGGAGGGUGCGCCGGAAACUGGAGUGCUCGAGCGUGGGAGAGGAAAGCGGAAGUUCCUGGUGUGAGCGGUGAAAUGCGUAGAUAUCAGGAGGAACACCUGUGGUGUAGACGGCUUUCUGGACCAUAGCUGACGCUGAGACACGAAAGCGUGGGUAGCAAACAGG
Molecule: ribosomal RNA, 254 nt
Filed under: uncultured bacterium
Lineage: Bacteria
Description: partial 16S ribosomal RNA
Rfam family: Bacterial small subunit ribosomal RNA
Source: RNAcentral